GAAUUGUUCGCAAUGGGCGCAAGCCUGACGACGCAACGCCGCGUGGAGGAUGAAGAUCUUCGGGUCGUAAACUCCUUUCGACCGAGAUGAACACUCGCCGGCCUAAUACGCCGGCGAGCUGACAGUAUCGGGAGAAGAAGCCCCGGCUAACUCCGCGCCAGCAGCCGCGGUAAUACGGGUGGGGCAAGCGUUGUUCGGAAUUACUGGGCGUAAAGGGUUCGUAGGUGGCCUGUUAAGUCAGACGUGAAAUCCCUCGGCUCAACCGGGGAACUGCGUCUGAAACUAGCGGGCUUGAGUGCAGGAGAGGAACGCGGAAUUCCAGGUGUAGCGGUGAAAUGCGUAGAUAUCUGGAGGAACACCGGUGGCGAAGGCGGCGUUCUGGACUGCUACUGACACUGAGGAACGAAAGCCAGGGGAGCAAACGGG
Molecule: ribosomal RNA, 426 nt
Filed under: uncultured bacterium
Lineage: Bacteria
Description: bacterial SSU rRNA
Rfam family: Bacterial small subunit ribosomal RNA
Source: RNAcentral